CUGGACUGGAGCGAAGCCUGAUCCAGCCAUGCCGCGUGUGUGAAGAAGGUCUUCUGGAUUGUAAAGCACUUUAAGUUGGGAGGAAGGGCAGUUACCUAAUACGUAUCUGUUUUGACGUUACCGACAGAGUAAGCACCGGCUAACUCUGUGCCAGCAGCCGCGGUAAUA
This 168-nucleotide ribosomal RNA is filed under the name uncultured bacterium. Its description in RNAcentral is "partial 16S ribosomal RNA". It matches the Rfam family "Bacterial small subunit ribosomal RNA", at positions 364 to 525 of the family's 1533-position model. The record is from RNAcentral.